Molecule: long non-coding RNA, 2973 nt
Organism: Oncorhynchus tshawytscha (Chinook salmon)
Lineage: Eukaryota; Metazoa; Chordata; Actinopteri; Salmoniformes; Salmonidae
Source: Ensembl
GUUUAGAGUUUGUUUCAUUUUGAGGUGGAGGCCUGUACAAGCAAUAGGGGGGGAACUGCAAUGGCGGUACAACUGAACUCUUUAUGACAACAUUAUGAGCAAUGUAUAAAUGCAAUCUUGACUGCUGGAGUAUUUCACAGCAUCAAACAGAAUGCAUAAAUGUCCUGUUUACCUCAGAUGCUGAUUGGUCUCCUCAUCAUCUGAGACGACUCCGUUGCACACUUCCCCUGUGGAAAAGCUAGCCUUCAGCUCUACUGCAUCAAAGCCCCUCUCCGCUGCCUCUCUCUUCUUCCUCCUCCCAAACAGGCGUCGGAACGGCUGGAAUUUGCCCUGCCGUCGCCUCUCUGCAGGCAGAAAGAGAAAUGAUAACCAAAGCCACUAGCCACACACUAUCAGCUUAUCUCUCUUUAUAUCACACCCAUGAACAUGUUUGAUUUACAUAUAAAUGUGUGGGCCGGAGUGUGUGUGUGGAUGUGUGCAAUUUACACAAGGUGUGUGAACAGAUACAAAAGAACUCCGCAGCAGAUGAAGUGAAGAGAAAACCUUGGCUCGGUUGAUAAUACUUACCUUCAACAACAGUACGUUUAUGUGAAUGCCUAUCUGAAAGCCUAUGUACAGGAGUAGGACCACUCAGGGGGACAUGGUUGAGAACCAACAUUCUGAUCACAUAACAGGCUGAAUCAUUCUGUCCUGACUGGACCUUUGGGAGUCACGCAGUAAAUCACUCACUCUGACUGACUGACUCUGUCCUUCCCAUAUGUAUACUGUAAUCCUUAUGUCUGCAUAUAAUAUCACAUGUUUCACUUGAAUACUCAAACGCUCUUUGGAUAAAGUAGAGACACAGGUGAGGAGCACUCCUUUCGUUAUCGUUCAUCCAUGAGGUGAUCUUUGAUCAAGGGAUGAAAUAUUAUAAAACAGAAAUACUAUAAAACAAAAUGGCUGUUGUAGCCUCAACGGUGCAUGUUUUAUUCUUGCAAUGCAUAAGCCGUGAACAUAAAGUUUUUUUAUCCACAGGUGUUCUAAAACCUUUGGCUGGUAUUGUAUAUUUGUGUUCUUUUGUUGAGGAAGUAUUUUUUAAAUCAAAUAAAUGCAUUAUUAUUGAUUAAAAUCACACAAUUUAGCUCUAUCCCUCAGUGUACACUCAACCCCGUUACGCCAACCAAACUCCGCCAAUAAAAAGGGUCAGUCCACCCUUAUGUGCCAUCAUUAACAGGAAGUGACAUUAUUCAACCAUUUUUAACUGCAUGGUACAGAAACAGAUACGUAAUCACAUUCUUUUAUAUCUUUGUUUUAUUGUUUUUUAAAGACAGGUGGGGAUUGUUGAGCAGACCAACACAACCCCAUUACAUAAAAUACAGAUGGAAAACUAGUACUUAUCAAAAUGAUACUUUAACCCAUAAAAAUAUACAAUACAUUAAUUUCGUUGCACACCAUGUGGUCUCCUGUCCUUCACCACAUGAGGAGCCAUUUUGAGCCCCCAAAGGAGGCCAUUUUGAGCCCCUCCAAAAAUUAAACCCUGUCACACUCAACCCGUACACAUGUUUCAUAACUGUCACGCCCUGACCUUAAAGAGCCUUUUUAUGUCUCUAUUUGGUUUGGUCAGGGUGUAAUUUGGGGUGGGCAUUCUAUGUUCUAUUUUCCAUGUUUUUGUAUUUUUUUGUUUGGGCCGGGUAUGGUUCUCAAUCAGGGACAGCUGUCUAUCGUUGUCUCUGAUUGGGAACCAUACUUAGGUAGCCCUUUUCCCUCCUUUCUGUGUGGAAAGUUUUAUUUGUUUGUGGCACUAUAGCACUUAAGCUUCACGGUCGUUUUGUAUGGUUUAUUGUUUUGUUGCCGUCAUUUUAAAUAAAGGAAAAAUGUAAGCUCACCACGCUGCGCUUUGGUCUUCCUUCAACGACAGCAGUGACAGUAACAGGGGUUGUAAAACCUGUGACAGGGUUGAGUUAUAUACUUUAUUUAUGAAUAUUGCAUCUAAACAAAUACAUUUUUCAAUAUAUUAUACAUUAUAUAUAGUUUAUAUUCACUUAUGAAACAUGCUGUAAUGUGUUCCAUGUGAACAAAAAAUAUAUUUUAAGGCAGGUAGCCUAGAGGUAGGAGAGUUGGGCAAGGCUCUUAACUCCAGUUGUUCCUUUAAGUCGCUCUAGAUCCUAAAUUACUCAAGGAUUAUAGUGUAUACAUGCAUAUAUUCUAAGAAUCUUUGAUUUAACGUUAUCCACUGAAACAUCUCGGGAAUGGUGGCACCCACAUCAACAGCAGAAAGACAAAGGCAGUGUCGAGCACCUCAAAAUGCUGACCCAGAAAAAAAGGAACAAUACUUUGAGAGAGAGCGUCAGAGAUGGAAAAGAAAUGUUGAGGCAGGGAGAAAGGAAAAGAUCAGUGAUUUAAAGUGAGAGAGACCAGCGUCAGAAGCGUAAACAGUGGAGAACAGCAUACAAAAGAAGCAAGGAGGGGAAAGGAGCACUGAGGAACUUGACCACUCCUCCACAAAGUCCAGAUCAUGUUCCAGAGCAGUCCCCACAGACAGGAUCUUCAAGGUCAGGGCAAUGUGGCAAUGGUACAUGGAACUUUUUUUUUGAGUCAAGCCAUGGAAAAGGGGCUCCUGAUGGUGUGGGAGGAACGUUGAAGAGAACGGAGGACGGGUUGGUGGCUAAAGGCCGUGAUAUCAGUGAUGCACAGGAGCUUUACAAAGCCCUCCGUGAGACAAACACGUCAGGUUGGUGGCUAAGGGCCGUGAUAUCAGUGAUGCACAGGAGCUUGACAAAGCCCUCCGUGAGACAAACACGUCAGGUUGGUGGCUAAAGGCCGUGAUAUCAGUGAUGCACAGGAGCUUUACAAAGCCCUCCGUGAGACAAACACCUCAGGGAAGCUGUUCUUUGUGAAGUGUGCCGAUGUCGAACGUGCGAUGGAGAUGAUGUCAAGCCCGAUAAAAGCGGUGCCCUCCACCAUGAGAAUACACCAGGUCAUCACCCGUGCUCC